AUGGCCUCGUGGUCAACCGGCCUCUGCGGCUGCUUCCAUGACAUCGGCGGCUGCUGCCUGACCUUCUUCUGCCCGUGCGUCGCCUUUGGGAGGAUCGCCGAGAUCGUCGACAAGGGGGCCAUGUCAUGCUGUGCGAGCGGGACGCUCUACAUGCUGCUGGCCAUGACGACGGGGAUAGGCACCGGCUUCUACUCCUGCUGCUACCGCGCCAAGCUGCGCGAGGAGCACGGGCUCGCGGAGAAGCCCUGCGGCGACUGCUGCGUCCACUUCUUCUGCGGCCUCUGCGCCCUCUCCCAGGAGUACCGCGAGCUCAAGAACCGCGGCUUCGACAUGAGCGCCGGAUGGGAAGCCAACGCGGAGAGGAUGGGGAAGACCGCCGCGCCCUAUGUGAACCCCGGGAUGACUCGUUAG
This 411-nucleotide ribosomal RNA is filed under the name Triticum aestivum (bread wheat). RNAcentral describes it as "partial small subunit ribosomal RNA". The record is from RNAcentral. Lineage: Eukaryota; Viridiplantae; Streptophyta; Magnoliopsida; Poales; Poaceae.